RNAcentral lists this ribosomal RNA (441 nucleotides) under Omorgus costatus. Its description in RNAcentral is "partial 16S ribosomal RNA". Lineage: Eukaryota; Metazoa; Arthropoda; Insecta; Coleoptera; Trogidae. The record is from RNAcentral.
AACAAAAACAUGUCUUUUUGAUAAUAAUUUAAAGUCUGGCCUGCCCAAUGAUUAUUUGAAUGGCUGCGGUAUUUUGACCGUACUAAGGUAGCAUAAUAAUUAGUUUUUUAAUUGAAAGCUGGUAUGAAUGGUUGGACGAGAAAAUAGCUGUCUCAAUUUAAUUUUAAUUAGAAUUUUAUUUUUAAGUAAAAAAGCUUAAAUAAUUUUAAAAGACGAGAAGACCCUAUAGAGUUUUAUAUUUUAUUAUUUUUGUAGGUUUAAAGAAUUUAAUAUUUAAAUGAUAAUAAAAUAUUUUGUUGGGGUGACAAAAAAAUUGAAAUAACUUUUUUUAUAUAAAUUCAUUGAUUUAUGAGUAAGUGAUCCAUUAUUUAUGAUUAAAAGAUUAAAUUACCUUAGGGAUAACAGCGUAAUUUUUUUUGAGAGUUCAAAUCGAAAAAAAAG